AAAGAAUCCACAGCUCUCGGCUUCCAAAUAACUUCUGUCUCUUCUCUCCAGGGAGACCACACUGCCUCGGAGUUAUUUUCUCAGGAGCCUCACUGCCUGCAGGGCUGUGUCUACAGUGCAUCAACCACAGCUCUGCCUGUCUGAAGCGUUCACUGCCAGGCACCCCAGGUGACUCCAGGCUGCAGGAGCUCUUGAUGUAGAUCAGUGUGGAGUGAAUGAAAAACAUUUAAACAGCAACUGAGGAGUGAAGCGCGUCUGGCACUAAAAGGAAAGAAGAAGUAGACUCAGGAGAAGAGGCCAAGUCCCUCCAUCAUGGGAACUUGAGGAUGUGUGAUCUGAAUGAAGGAAUGCAGCCAGCAAAGCAAGCCAGACAUAUGGAAGAGAAAAGGUGUCAGGCUUGAAGAGAAGUGAGCAAGCUGAUGUCUUCUGGCCACACUGGGGAUGAGAAUUUAAUACCGUUGGUGACAAUCUGCAGGAAAAGCAGCAUGGAAGAGAUGGGCAAGCUCAGUGCAAAGGAGGGAACUACUUAUCUUUUGGAAAGCACCCUCCAUUUGGUGGGGAGAUUCUAUGGAUCGGAAUAUUCUGUUUCGAUAUCCACGAACUGGAUGUACACCUGACAAAAUGUCUACGAAAUCCACGGUGUAGCUGGUCUAGAAUGGCUGAAUUGU
Molecule: long non-coding RNA, 668 nt
Filed under: Amazona collaria (yellow-billed parrot)
Lineage: Eukaryota; Metazoa; Chordata; Aves; Psittaciformes; Psittacidae
Description: lncRNA (ENSACOG00000016464.1)
Source: RNAcentral